UACGUAGGGGGCAAGCGUUAUCCGGAUUUAUUGGGCGUAAAGAGCGUGUAGGCGGCCAGGUAGGUCAGCUGUGAAAACUCGAGGCUCAACCUCGAGAUGUCGGCGGAAACCAUCUGGCUAGAGUCCGGAAGAGGAGAGUGGAAUUCCUGGUGUAGCGGUGAAAUGCGCAGAUAUCAGGAAGAACACCCGUGGCGAAGGCGGCUCUCUGGGACGGUACUGACGCUGAGACGCGAAAGCGUGGGGAGCGAACAGG
This 253-nucleotide ribosomal RNA is filed under the name uncultured bacterium. RNAcentral describes it as "partial 16S ribosomal RNA". It matches the Rfam family "Bacterial small subunit ribosomal RNA", at positions 524 to 776 of the family's 1533-position model. The record is from RNAcentral.